This 520-nucleotide ribosomal RNA is filed under the name Felis silvestris (wild cat). RNAcentral describes it as "partial 16S ribosomal RNA". It matches the Rfam family "Bacterial large subunit ribosomal RNA", at positions 1818 to 2569 of the family's 2925-position model. The record is from RNAcentral. Lineage: Eukaryota; Metazoa; Chordata; Mammalia; Carnivora; Felidae.
ACCUCUAGCAUUUCUAGUAUUAGAGGCACUGCCUGCCCGGUGACGCUAGUUAAACGGCCGCGGUAUCCUGACCGUGCAAAGGUAGCAUAAUCAUUUGUUCCCUAAAUAGGGACUUGUAUGAACGGCCACACGAGGGCUUUACUGUCUCUUACUUCCAAUCCGUGAAAUUGACCUUCCCGUGAAGAGGCGGGAAUAUAAUAAUAAGACGAGAAGACCCUAUGGAGCUUUAAUUAACCGACCCAAAGAGACCAUAUGAACCAACCGACAGGAACAACAAACCUCUAUAUGGGCCGGCAAUUUAGGUUGGGGUGACCUCGGAGAACAAAACAACCUCCGAGUGAUUUAAAUCUAGACUAACCAGUCGAAAGUACUACAUCACUUAUUGAUCCAAAAACCUUGAUCAACGGAACAAGUUACCCUAGGGAUAACAGCGCAAUCCUAUUUCAGAGUCCAUAUCGACAAUAGGGUUUACGACCUCGAUGUUGGAUCAGGACAUCCCGAUGGUGCAGCAGCUAUCAAA